Molecule: ribosomal RNA, 505 nt
Filed under: Staphylococcus hominis
Lineage: Bacteria; Bacillati; Bacillota; Bacilli; Caryophanales; Staphylococcaceae
Description: bacterial SSU rRNA
Rfam family: Bacterial small subunit ribosomal RNA
Source: RNAcentral
GCUCCUUUGACGUUAGCGGCGGACGGGUGAGUAACACGUGGGUAACCUACCUAUAAGACUGGGAUAACUUCGGGAAACCGGAGCUAAUACCGGAUAAUAUUUCGAACCGCAUGGUUCGAUAGUGAAAGAUGGCUCUGCUAUCACUUAUAGAUGGACCUGCGCCGUAUUAGCUAGUUGGUAAGGUAACGGCUUACCAAGGCAACGAUACGUAGCCGACCUGAGAGGGUGAUCGGCCACACUGGAACUGAGACACGGUCCAGACUCCUACGGGAGGCAGCAGUAGGGAAUCUUCCGCAAUGGGCGAAAGCCUGACGGAGCAACGCCGCGUGAGUGAUGAAGGUCUUCGGAUCGUAAAACUCUGUUAUUAGGGAAGAACAAACGUGUAAGUAACUGUGCACGUCUUGACGGUACCUAAUCAGAAAGCCACGGCUAACUACGUGCCAGCAGCCGCGGUAAUACGUAGGUGGCAAGCGUUAUCCGGAAUUAUUGGGCGUAAAGCGCGCGU